This 431-nucleotide RNase P RNA is filed under the name Novosphingobium sp. Its description in RNAcentral is "RNase P RNA component class A". It matches the Rfam family "Bacterial RNase P class A". From Rfam's summary of the family: Ribonuclease P (RNase P) is a ubiquitous endoribonuclease, found in archaea, bacteria and eukarya as well as chloroplasts and mitochondria. Its best characterised activity is the generation of mature 5'-ends of tRNAs by cleaving the 5'-leader elements of precursor-tRNAs. RNAcentral also lists the same sequence under 3 other names. Lineage: Bacteria; Pseudomonadati; Pseudomonadota; Alphaproteobacteria; Sphingomonadales; Sphingomonadaceae. The record is from RNAcentral.
CCAGGGGGCCGGGCAGCCGCGUCCUUCGUCAAGCUCAGGAUGAGCGGGGGGAAGGCCGAGGAAAGUCCGGGCUCCACGAAACAAGGGUGGCGGGUAACGCCCGCCGGGCCUGAGGCUCACGCCAAAGGUCAAGGGAAAGUGCCACAGAGAGCAGACCGCUAAUCCCGCAAGGGACAGCAAGGGUGAAAGGGUGCGGUAAGAGCGCACCGCGCGACCGGCAACGGAAGCGGCACGGCAAACCCCACCUGGAGCAAGAUCGAAUAGGGACUGCGCGCCUUUCGGGGCAGGCCUGUUUCGGGCCAGCAGUCCGGGUUGAUUGCUUGAGCGUUCCGGCAACGGUCCGCCUAGAGGAAUGGCUGCCAGUGCCGAUACGGUCCACUUGUGGGAUACCGUCGGCGCUACAGAACCCGGCUUACAGGCCCCCUGGCGCA